RNAcentral lists this long non-coding RNA (529 nucleotides) under Homo sapiens (human). Its description in RNAcentral is "HSALNT0148324". Lineage: Eukaryota; Metazoa; Chordata; Mammalia; Primates; Hominidae. The record is from RNAcentral.
GCUACUCUCUGACUAUGGGCAGUGGGAAGUAUGUGGACACUAUGGAUUCAAACAGCAACCCAAUACUGUUGGCCCCUGAGGUGUGCUGCUUGCCCCUUUAUCAAAUAUACACUGUGCCCUAUGGGGAGUCCAGUCCCCACUCUGGGCUGAUGAGAGGAGGGUCCAUGUUAAUCACUGAGACCCGUUUAAAAACAAGGCUCCCUCCAACUACAACUACUGGGAAAACUUACAUCUCCUACACACACAGGAUCCAGCGUAGGUAGUCGAUAGAUGGCAAGACUGUUGGGGUUGUCUCCUCCAGUGGCUAGCAGUGUUCUAGAAGGAUUCAGCUCGAUGGCAUGGAUACCACAGCCCUGCUGGGUCACACCUCCAGGCUCCCGGUCUUUCAGAAUGGGGAUCUUGGUGAUCUGGCUUGUCUGGACAUCUACGACAAAUAGCUACAAGAAAAAAUGGAUACAGAAGCUGAACAUAAAUUUAACGUGGCCAAUACAGGGUAUAAACAUCCUUUUGUUCAACUGUUCAUCAACAU